Felis catus (domestic cat) is the source of this 1018-nucleotide long non-coding RNA. RefSeq lists it as uncharacterized. Lineage: Eukaryota; Metazoa; Chordata; Mammalia; Carnivora; Felidae. The record is from RefSeq and is a predicted model, not a curated record. The transcript is spliced from 3 exons.
UCUUACAGCAACUGCACAAGUUUACCAUUCUUGUCACACACCCGUUUCCCCUAAGAACUAUAAAAAUUCUUAAAUUCUGCUCACAGUCUUAUGACAUAUAAUGAUGUAGAUGAAAAAUGUAUGCCAUUUUUCUUAUUCCUUUGCAGGUAACAUGUCCCUCGACAGGUGGCUCUGGUCUCUGAAAGAAAUUAUCACCAAAACAUCUAAAUAUGUGCCAUCAGCACUUGCUGAACAAAACGCUAGGUGCAUGUAAAAGUCUAGAAAAAAGGAAAAAGAAGUUCAAAGACUUGAUAUAAGAAAUGUCACAAAUUGCAUGUGUUACUUAAGAAAGGACAGAAAUUUAUUUUCAAAGAUUUGACUCCAAGUAUUGGCAAAGAUGUCGGGAAAGAGACUUAACUACACUGUUGGAAAUGUCCACCGUGGAAGCUUCUAAUAAGAUCUGACAGCUUGUUUCAAAAUGAUCUGAUCCCUGGCCAUCUCUCCCCAUCAUCCGCUGGCUCCAGGAACACUCUUUUCCCUCAACUUCUAGAACAGUAAGUACAUGCUCAUUCCAGCAUCUGGGCCUUUACCUCUGCUUCUCCUUCAUUCUGAGAGGUUCUCCCUUCCCUCAUUCAAAGAGCUAGCUUGUAUCAUAGCUUAAAUGUCACCACUUUUGACAGCAGGUGUCCCUCCUACCGCCACUAUUUUUUACUUCAGCACUUUUAACUCCUUUAUAGUACAGAUGGACCCCAACUUACAAUGGUUUCCCUUAUGAUUUUUCACUUUAUGAUGGUGCAAAAGCGAUAUGCUAUACUUUGAAUUUUGAAUUGUGAUCUUUUCCCAGGCUAUCAAUGUGCAGUAUGAUACCCUCUCAUGAUGCUAAGCAGCAGCAGCAAGCCAUAGCACCCAGUCAGCAGGCAACUGGGAGGAUAAACAAUCAAUACACCUAUAACUACUGUUUUUCACUUUCAGUGCAGUAUUCAAUAAACUACAUGAAAUAUUCAACACCUUAUUAUAAAAUAAGCUUUGUGUUAGAUGA